This 835-nucleotide unclassified non-coding RNA is filed under the name Hevea brasiliensis (rubber tree). Lineage: Eukaryota; Viridiplantae; Streptophyta; Magnoliopsida; Malpighiales; Euphorbiaceae. The record is from RNAcentral.
AAUCCAAUUUCAAAAUUCAUCACUUGAGAAUACGUGAUAUAACAGACGUUUUCUUCAACUCAUCCUACUGUCUUCUCAUCCUUAACAGUACACGUUUUCUUCCGACUCCAUAGGGGGAGCCUCUGCAAUCAUUCCCUUCUUCCUCUUUCAAGCUUCUGGACUUCACACAAGACUAGACUACGACGCCAGCAUCCCCUCUUUUUCUUUCGUGCUCAGGAUUCAAGCCUUCUCCUCCUGUGGGUUGAAUUCAAGACCCAAGAUUGCUCAAGCAGAAUUUCGCAGAUUCAGUGAAGUUGGAAUCCACGCAGAAUUUGCAGUGGCCUUUGAACUUCGCGCGGGGUUCAAGACUCAAGGUUCGGUGCUUUACGACGUACUCUGCAAUGCUCUUAUUGUUGGCUGGGCGCCUUUCUCCAAAACUGAGCCACAACCAGAUUUUGUUCCAAUGAAAGUAGAAACCCAAGAGAAUUUCAAGGUGUUGCAGGAAAGUGUUGCUGCUCCAUCAAGUUUGAUUGAUCAAGCCCAGGGCUUAGAUGCCAUGGAACUUUGCUCUUUGCUUGAAUUCUUGUUUAGUUGAAUUCUUUGUUUGUUUAAAUUCUUGGAUAAAGAGGCGUUUAUAUCACAACAUUUGAAAUUAUUAUUGAAUACUGAUCUUAAAAUGCUCAUUGAAAUGAAAAGGAUAAUUAAAUCUCAACCAAUCAUUGGGUCAACCUAAAAAUAACAAAGAAGUGCAGUUAAAAAAAUGGAAAGAAGGAAGCCGGGCAGGGGGGAGGGGAGGGGGGAUGGUGGGGUGUGGGGGUGGAGGAAAAGGAGAGAAAGGGAGAGAGUUCAUUGUCAA